AUUAGAUACCCGUGUAGUCCUAGCCGUAAACGAUACUCGCUAGGUGUCGGCCACGGUGCGACCGUUGUCGGUGCCGUAGGGAAGCCGUGAAGCGAGCCACCUGGGAAGUACGGCCGCAAGGCUGAAACUUAAAGGAAUUGGCGGGGGAGCACCACAACGGGUGGAGCUUGCGGUUUAAUUGGAUUCAACGCCGGAAAUCUUACCGGGACCGACAGCAAUAUGAAGGCCAGGCUGAAGACUUUGCCGGAUUAGCUGAGAGGAGGUGCAU
Molecule: ribosomal RNA, 268 nt
Filed under: uncultured archaeon
Lineage: Archaea
Description: partial 16S ribosomal RNA
Rfam family: Archaeal small subunit ribosomal RNA
Source: RNAcentral